CGUGGCUUAAUCGGAUAAAGCGCCGGUCUACGAAACCGGAGAUUACAGGUUCAAAUCCUGUCUUGU
This 66-nucleotide transfer RNA is filed under the name Rhodomonas abbreviata. It matches the Rfam family "tRNA", at positions 7 to 64 of the family's 71-position model. Rfam says of the family: Transfer RNA (tRNA) molecules are approximately 80 nucleotides in length. Their secondary structure includes four short double-helical elements and three loops (D, anti-codon, and T loops). Further hydrogen bonds mediate the characteristic L-shaped molecular structure. tRNAs have two regions of fundamental functional importance: the anti-codon, which is responsible for specific mRNA codon recognition, and the 3' end, to which the tRNAs corresponding amino acid is attached (by aminoacyl-tRNA synthetases). tRNAs cope with the degeneracy of the genetic code in two manners: having more than one tRNA (with a specific anti-codon) for a particular amino acid; and 'wobble' base-pairing, i.e. permitting non-standard base-pairing at the 3rd anti-codon position. The record is from RNAcentral. Lineage: Eukaryota; Cryptophyceae; Pyrenomonadales; Pyrenomonadaceae.